This 278-nucleotide ribosomal RNA is filed under the name uncultured prokaryote. RNAcentral describes it as "partial 16S ribosomal RNA". It matches the Rfam family "Bacterial small subunit ribosomal RNA", at positions 524 to 801 of the family's 1533-position model. The record is from RNAcentral.
CACGUAGGAGGCAAACGUUAUCCGGAUUUACUGGGCGUAAAGCGCGUGUAGGUGGUUCUGUAAGUAGGGCGUGAAAGCUCCCGGCUCAACUGGGAGAGGUCGCUCUAAACUGGCAAGCUAGAGGAUGGAAGAGGGAGGUGGAAUUCCGGGUGUAGCGGUGGAAUGCGCAGAUAUCCGGAGGAACACCAGUGGCGAAAGCGGCCUCCUGGUCCAUUCCUGACACUCAGACGCGAAAGCUAGGGUAGCAAACGGGAUUAGAUACCCGCGUAGUCCCUGAG